This 285-nucleotide unclassified non-coding RNA is filed under the name Hevea brasiliensis (rubber tree). Lineage: Eukaryota; Viridiplantae; Streptophyta; Magnoliopsida; Malpighiales; Euphorbiaceae. The record is from RNAcentral.
GUUUGGUAGUAGCUAUAUGACUUAAAAAUAUGAACCCAUCUCUCUCUUUUUUUCCUUCUCUCUAAAUUUUGAAAUUUUAAAAAAUUAAACUUCAAGUUUGACACUAAUUAUCUAACCAUUAUUAUUACUCGCUCUCUCUUUCUCCACAAUCUCCCCCCUAUUUCUUUCUAUUAACACUGACUCAUCUAUCUAUCUAUUGUUAUUACUCGAUAUUAUCCCUCGCCCAGUCUUUGUAUCUAUAAAUACCUUCUUUCAACUUUAUCCAAUCAAUUUAGCGCAGAAACA